CCGAGUUUACAACUCCCAAACCCCUGUGAACAUACCACUUGUUGCCUCGGCGGAUCAGCCCGCUCCCGGUAAAACGGGACGGCCCGCCAGAGGACCCCUAAACUCUGUUUCUAUAUGUAACUUCUGAGUAAAACAUAAAUAAAUCA
RNAcentral lists this unclassified non-coding RNA (146 nucleotides) under soil metagenome. Its description in RNAcentral is "partial internal transcribed spacer 1". The record is from RNAcentral.